This 450-nucleotide ribosomal RNA is filed under the name uncultured Archaeospora. RNAcentral's name for it is "SSU rRNA". It matches the Rfam family "Eukaryotic small subunit ribosomal RNA", at positions 569 to 1022 of the family's 1831-position model. Lineage: Eukaryota; Fungi; Glomeromycota; Glomeromycetes; Archaeosporales; Archaeosporaceae. The record is from RNAcentral.
AGCAGCCGCGGUAAUUCCAGCUCCAAUAGCGCAUAUUAAAGUUGUUGCAGUUAAAAAGCUCGUAGUUGAAUUUUGGAUUCUUCCAAUUGGUCCAUCUUUUAGAUGAGUACUGGUUGUGUGGGGUCUAUCCGCCUGGUGAUACGUAAUGUCCUUUAUUGGAUGUUGCGGGUAGUCAGGACCUUUACCUUGAAAAAUUAGAGUGUUUAAAGCAGGCUUAUGCCGGAAUACAUUAGCAUGGAAUAAUAGAAUAGGACGAAGUUGUUUUAUUUUGUUGGUUUCUAGGACAACCGUAAUGAUUAAUAGGGAUAGUUGGGGGCAUUAGUAUUCAAUUGUCAGAGGUGAAAUUCUUGGAUUUAUUGAAGACUAACUACUGCGAAAGCAUUUGCCAAGGAUGUUUUCAUUAAUCAAGAACGAAAGUUAGGGGAUCGAAGACGAUCAGAUACCGUCGUA